AUGUCGUCAGACCUUCGAACAGACUCAACGUACAGUACAUAGGCCCGUAUCUCAGGAGAGCAAUGGUCAAUCCGGGUGAUUGACACGUCUAUAGAACCGUCAGCGCCUCCCACGGACACCAUUCGCUAUCUGUGAGGGGGCGAACCCACUGUGAGGCCUUUUUUCCCCACCGCCAUUUGACAUGCGACUUCCGCAUGUGUGGUCGAAGUAGGACGGACCAGGCGGAUUAAUAUCUUGAAGUGACAAGCGGUCUUUGUGCUACGUUAACUAAAGCGGAUUCAUGGAUCAACACAUAACAUUUCCUGCAAAUACUUCGACGGCCCCACAUUUCAGGGGGAGAGGAGGAGGAAGAGGAGGGUGACAACUGAGGGCGAGGAAGAGGAUGUAGGAACCAGAAAGACACGAGUUAAGGAGGAGAAAGAUGAAUCAGAGGAGGGAGGGAAGACAUAGAGAAGUAGAGGAAAAGCAAGUAAAGGAAAAGGUAACAGCCGCUGAAAAGAGCACAGAGUCGACGCAGCGGCCGGGUGAAUUUGAU
Scophthalmus maximus (turbot) is the source of this 535-nucleotide long non-coding RNA. RefSeq lists it as uncharacterized. NCBI's taxonomy places the organism in Eukaryota, Metazoa, Chordata, Actinopteri, Pleuronectiformes, Scophthalmidae. The transcript is spliced from 3 exons. The record is from RefSeq and is a predicted model, not a curated record.